Molecule: long non-coding RNA, 4516 nt
Organism: Siniperca chuatsi (mandarin fish)
Lineage: Eukaryota; Metazoa; Chordata; Actinopteri; Centrarchiformes; Sinipercidae
Exons: 2
Source: RefSeq, a predicted model, not a curated record
GAAGAUUAAAAUAAGAUGAAGAAUAAAAAUGACAGUGCAGUGCAAGAUAUGAAUAAGUAUUCACAAAAUUGAUAUAUAUUAAUAUUGAGACCUGAUUUAGAAGAAAUGAGAGUUGGAGCAGACUUCAUGUUUUCUGGAAGUUUGUUCCAGAUAUGCGGUGCAAAAAAACUGCAUGCUGCUUCUCCAUGUUUAGUUUAGUUUUGGCCCUAAACCAUUCAGUGCUUUAUAAACCAACUGUAGUAUUUUAAUGUCAAUUCUUUGACAAACCAAUGUAAAGAUCUGCGAACCGGAGUGAUGUGAUCCACUUUCCUGGUCUUAGUGAGGACUCUAGCAGCUGCGUCCUGAAUCAGCUGCAGCUGUCUUAUUGACUUUUUAGAGACCUGUAAAGACAGCGUUACAGUAGUCGAACCUACUGAAGAUAAACAGACAAGUUUUUAUAUAUCCUGCUGAGACUGAAGCUGCCGUGGCUCCCUGCUGAUGUCUUCACACUCUAGCAGAGCAUUCUCUGGAUCGCUAGACAACGUCAUGGCCCACUAUUCGCAGUUAGCCUCAGUAUAGUACAUACAGGACAGCAACACUCUGUAGGUAUUCCAGCCAUUACUGUGGACUGCAUACAUGUACCUUCUGAUGACCAUCGGUCUGUCUUUUGACUAGCCUGCCUUACCCAUCUGAUCUGCUUGCCUGGUCUGCCAGCCAAGUCAUUGCCAACUACACUGACCAUGUAAAGACCACAUCUAUUCUACCUCAUAAGUCUGCUUUUGGGUACCAGAUCGGUGUGACCAACUGUUAUGGAUUAUAAAGAUGACAGAGAGAGAGAACAGAGUAUUAUUAUAUUCAAAAGGUUUAGUCCAACUGAAAUUAACUUGCAUGUUUUUCUGCUACAGCAUACAGAUCUGCCUAGAUCCUGUCCUUUUUUUUGUUUUGUUUUGGUUUCAUGGUGGUGCAUGGUGCAUAGCAGUCAGAAUGCUAUUGUUUUUCUUUCAUAGAAAGACAACUUCUUUGCAUAAAGCCAUUCAAAUCAUUUAAUUUUAAAGUGCAGUGACACUGACAGUCAUUAACAUAACACACAGCAGACUUUAAACCACAAUGCUAGUCUCCUUUGCAUCUAUAAGCAUGGACAUGUUUUGUUUAAAUUAGCUGCUAACCAAACAUCCACCAGGGAUUUGACAGGCUAGAUAAAUGAGCCAGCUAAUUGGCUAACCAGCUGUAGCACAUUAAACAGCAUAAAAAGUGUACUGGCAAAUUUCAACAUCGGUCAGUUUAUAUGCUAAAUGGAGUAGCCGUUACUCCUCAGUGCCACUCAUGGAUGUAUUAUAAAAACUAGAUACAGGACUUAUUCCACUUGAGUGAAAAUUGCUUGCUGAGUGCAUAAGCCAGAAAUUUUUUCUAGCUUCCAGGUUUACUUCCACAUUGUAAGCUACAGCUACCAGCUCAAUUUGUUGUCUCAACUGUCAGUCAAACACAUAAAAUGGCCCACUCAGAGGCUUGAAGGCGAAAGGAUCAUUUCUGAUGUAUCUCCACAGACCAUUUUUUCCUAAUUUCAAAGAUAAAUUAAUAUUAACAAUAAAUUAGAAAAUCUCUUUGAUGUGAUCUUUGACUACAAGAAGGUAUGAUGUUUGCCAUUUUAGUUUAUCAAAGUAUCAAUUCUCCCCACUUAAAAAUAUUCUUCACAGAGACAUUGUGCAAGUUUGCUUGCAAACAGUUUACUUGUUGAAUAUGAUGUGUAUCUGAAGGAUUUUAUUGGUUGAACCUUUCUUUUCUCAAAUCUGCUGCACAUAAGAAGAUAGUGAAUUUUCUUUCUUCUGCCAAAUGGGAGUUGCACUACACUGUUAUACAAGUUUCCAUUACACACUGUGAUGUCCAUGUUUUUUUAGCGUGAAUAAUUCAACAGUGGACAGGUUAUGAAAGGUGGAUACACAGCAAGUGCUUUGUAAAAGAAUACACUGAGAUAAGUGUGUCCACGUGUCCCAGAAAAGGACAGCUAGAAACAUGUCUUAAAGCUAUUCUCAUUAGCUUUAACAUUUCCUCCUCACUGACAGGUGUGUGUGUGUGUGUGAGAGAGAGAGAGAGAGAGAGAGAGAGAGCUCCCUUUUCCCUCACUGGCAGCUAUUGAUUGAGUCUGUGGAGUUGAGGAACAAGAUAUCAAACAGCAACCAAUCUCAGUUUGGAUUAUGUCAUAUCUCUCUCUCUAGCUUUUCCCUCCACUACACCUCUAUUCUGGAUUCCCUUCACUCAAGUGGACAGAUCCUCAAGGUGGAAAGAAACUCACCUCACAUCCCUACAUAUCGAACUCCCCAGUGAAUCUCUACAAAUCAUUUUUAGAGUUUGCCAAUUAUACAGAGGGGCUCUAAACUUGGAGGACUUCAAGGACUUUUUAAAAAAUCUAUGGUAAAUUUAACUUUGGUAAAAUGUUGACAGCUCUAGUGAACAUUCCUUUUGUAACAUGUCAUACCAACAUCAGAACUGGCUGCUCUGUGCUCUUGUAGUCAGCACAACUUGUUCUAUAUUUGAAAGCAGGUAGUGUCAUUCACUCUGUGUCCAUGACUCGACUCUUCAGUAAAUAAACUUACCCUUUUGUUUUUUUUCUGUUUUCAUUGCUCUGGUUUAAAUACAGGCCUGCAGUGGUUAUGGCUGUGCAGCUUUUGUUUUGCCAGCCACUGAAGCCCUGCAACCAGAGCCACAGUGUUUUGUUUAUUUGUGACAUCUUUGAGGUCUUUGCAUUAUAUUUGUCGUCCCCUUUAUUUCAUUUGCAUGUAAAGGAAUGGCCCUAUCAUCCUAGGCUGACUGAACUUUAUUUGAACUUGCAUGCAGCCAUAUGAUAGACAAGGCACUGCCACCACAGAUCAAUUUGCAUGUAAAGAUGUGACUGGACAAGCAACUGUAAUUUGGUGUAAGCAUUCUUUUGGACAAGCAACAGUUUACAACAACCUGGCAGUCUGCAGUGCCAUGCACUAAACAGCAUAAAUCCAGUUCUGUUUCUCUACAUGCAUUUACCAGCAUGUUUACAGUGCUACACAAAUACUAUGUAUUCAUCCAUAUAUUAACAAGACUAAAAGUCUAUAGUCACGGUAGCAGCUCUGUAAGACUGUACUUAUAGGUAUAGUGACGCUUUGAGGUAAAUGCUAAUGCUGCAGGGAUGUGCACAGACAUUUUGGGGGGGCAGGGGCAUAAACAAAAAAGGGCACUCACGCAGCCACAAAUUCUCUAUUCCCACCCUGAUUUUGCCACACCACCAUUCAAAAUUACCCUCUUCAUAACGUGCCAUGUUUAAACACUUCAUUCCUUGAAGCAACCGCAAAUUUGACACAUUUACAUGAAAUUAAUUCAUUGUUCAGUUGUUUAGAGCAGUUCAGUCACAUUAGAUCAAUGGUUUCUUCCAGAAAGGAAAAUUAAGAAGGAUGCAAUUUAUUGGCAUCCAAACAGAUUUCCAGUAUGUACAAGAGCCUGACUGAUUUAUCUCUUUAGGCCAGGUUUCUUAAGCCUUUCCUUUCUGUGCAUUGCACUACAAUCAGCAGAUGAUCAAAAUGAAUAACUGACAUGUAUCAUUAGGUCUCUCAAAUGCAAAUGAAAAGCCUAGACCUGGGACAAAAUACCAACAACGAGAUUAUAUUAUCCACAUUAUUCAGUUCCAUCUGUGUAUAUUUAUACUGCACAAAUAUGUGGUCAGUAUGUUCCUUUCUGGGUUGAAUUCACUAUUCUGGAGAUGGUGAAAGUCGGGUCACCAUAUUUUCCGUGCAUAAUGAUGCUGAUGUCAUAUUUUGGAGGACAAUCACUCAUACAAUAACAGUGAAGUUGCAGCAAACUUUGCAGCAUAGUAAAUAUUGUUUCCAUCAUGUUGUUGGUUGCCUGUAAUUAUUAAACAAUUUUCAUUCAAUUAAAUUACCGAAUUAAUUAAAUUGUCAAUUAAAUUGCAUUCAGUCAGUGAAAACUAUACAUUUAAAUGCUUGCAAUGAAGGAACAAUUUAAAAAUACGCUUUGUAUUGUACACUUUACAAUACGUUACACAAAAUAAUGAGUAGUUACUAAGGAACGAGUGAGGAAUGAAUCAGGAACCAACUGAUAAUUCAUUAAUUAUUAAUAAGUAGUUAGCGAAUAACUAUGGCGGAAUGAACGGAGGACUAUAAUAGAUAAUGAUGAUUUAUUUGAGAACUGACAUGUACACCAAAUAUGAUAUAUAUAGACUAUUAACCACGUAAUGCAUAUUUAAUUGUUUUAGUUGUCUGACAAAGGAACUAACUAACCUACUAUAUUACGGCAGAAUCGUGGUGUUCUUUAAGACAAGGGUUGGCUAAAUCAUCAUACAAAAUGAUAUCUUGUUAAUGUUGUUGCAGUGAGACACAACGUUCAUUUUAUUUCAGAUGAAACGGACAGAUGAAGUGAAGUGCAGGCUGCAGAGACUAGUGUACCCCUGCGACCACCACCAGCCCUCGUCCCAUGUCUCCUGCUGCUGAAGCACACAAAUGCUGUAUUUUGCACAUUUAUAUUUCUGCAUGUUAAUAAAUAGUUGUGGAACUUA